GACGAACGCUGGCGGCGUGCUUAACACAUGCAAGUCGAACGGAAAGGCCCUGCUUUUGUGGGGUGCUCGAGUGGCGAACGGGUGAGUAACACGUGAGUAACCUGCCCUUGACUUUGGGAUAACUUCAGGAAACUGGGGCUAAUACCGGAUAGGAGCUCCUGCUGCAUGGUGGGGGUUGGAAAGUUUCGGCGGUUGGGGCUGGACUCGCGGCUUAUCAGCUUGUUGGUGGGGUAGUGGCUUACCCAGGCAUUGACGGGUAGCCGGCCUGAGAGGGUGACCGGCCACCUUGGGACUGAGAUACGGCCCAGUCUCCUACGGGGGGCAGCAGUGGGGAAUAUUGCACAAUGGGCGGACGCCUGAUGCAGCAGCGCCGCGUGCGGGAUGACGUCCUUCGGGUUGUAAACCGCUUUCGCCUGUGACGAAGCGUGAGUGACGGUAAUGGGUAAAGAAGCACCGGCUAACUACGUG
This 468-nucleotide ribosomal RNA is filed under the name uncultured bacterium. RNAcentral's name for it is "partial 16S ribosomal RNA". It matches the Rfam family "Bacterial small subunit ribosomal RNA", at positions 28 to 507 of the family's 1533-position model. The record is from RNAcentral.